UGCAUAUGAAGAACAGAAAGAAUAAGAGGUUCAUUUAUUAUCUUCUAUGUUACGAAAUUAAUUAAUAUAGUCUGGUACAAAAGCAGGUGUCUGAAAAAUGCUAAAAGAUUAUGAGAAAAUGGCUAGCACGUAAAAGCAAACAGUUCAAAUUUGGCGCUUGAAUUGGUGCUCUGUGACAACUUUGUCAUUUACAAUUAUGAUGGCUUAUAAUAAUUUUUUUUUAUUUAAUUUUAUAUUAAUAUGGUAUAAUAUUAAAGUGGUUGGUCCAUAUUAUUGGAAGGGGGAAGAAUAUUAUUUUGUGGGUUGGAGGAUGAAAUGUGUAGUGCGCGCUGUGAGCUUGCGACAAGAGGGAGUGUGGCUAGCGCAGUGUUCAAAGGACGCCGCGACCCGCUGCCUUAUUUAACUUGGAUUUUGGCUGAACCAGACGGUGACACGGGCAGGGAUUGCUUCUAUGUGCUGGUGCAGGGUUGGUUCCUGCUAGGAAGCGCCCAGGAAGGCCUAGUGCCACUCACAAGGACCAAGAAGGGUUAUAAUCUGGGAUGUGACUGUGAAUUGAAGACCUUGUGCGAAAGAUGGACCAGUGUUUGAAGAGGAAGCUGUGAGUGAGAGCACCUAAACCUGUGUGCAGGUGUGGGAGAGCGGUGGUGCUUGGCUUGGAUUGGAGGUGGUGAAUCUGGUGAAGCCAGACAGGCUAAAUUGACCCAUCAUUUUCUGUUUAGCAGUGUCCCUCCUGGUAUUUUAAGUGUUUUCAUCAGGACUGUUCUUGAAAGCUACAGAGUAAACAUCUAGUCUGGUUCUUAUGGGUGUUGUUGAUGUUGAUGCAUAAUGUUUAGUGCAUAAGAUAUUAAUUAAACUAACAUCACUAG
This is a long non-coding RNA of Scylla paramamosain (green mud crab), 866 nucleotides long. RefSeq lists it as uncharacterized. The transcript is spliced from 2 exons. Lineage: Eukaryota; Metazoa; Arthropoda; Malacostraca; Decapoda; Portunidae. The record is from RefSeq and is a predicted model, not a curated record.